Molecule: ribosomal RNA, 254 nt
Filed under: uncultured bacterium
Lineage: Bacteria
Description: partial 16S ribosomal RNA
Rfam family: Bacterial small subunit ribosomal RNA
Source: RNAcentral
UACGUAGGGGGCAAGCGUUGUCCGGAAUCAUUGGGCGUAAAGAGCUCGUAGGCGGCUCAGUAAGUCGGGUGUGAAACCCUCAGGCUCAACCUGGGGACGCCACCCGAUACUGCUGUGGCUAGAGUCCAGUAGGGGAGUGUGGAAUUCCCGGUGUAGCGGUGAAAUGCGCAGAUAUCGGGAGGAACACCAGCGGCGAAGGCGGCACUCUGGGCUGGAACUGACGCUGAGGAGCGAAAGCGUGGGUAGCAAACAGG